Mauremys reevesii (Reeves's turtle) is the source of this 660-nucleotide long non-coding RNA. RefSeq lists it as uncharacterized. NCBI's taxonomy places the organism in Eukaryota, Metazoa, Chordata, Testudines, Geoemydidae. The record is from RefSeq and is a predicted model, not a curated record. The transcript is spliced from 3 exons.
UCUGAAAGUCGCAGCUGUCCAAGUUGGAGUGUCCCCUCUUGUCACACACCGUCCGGCCAAUUUCCACAUUGAGCAUGUAUUUCAGCCCUCUGACAACCUAGAGGAAGCAGUUUCCAGCCAAGUACCUGAUCUGCAGGCAGCUGUUUCAAAUUUGGGAAGAACUGAAAAAAGGAAAGGUGUAGAAGGAGAAGAAAUCCAGAUGCAAAUGGAAACUUUUACAAUCUGAGGCCCCAGCCUUGGAAACAUCUUAUCUUGCGACCCCAUUGUGGCUUAACGCUCACUAACACCUAUUGAGUCACAGCCUCUUGUAAGAGUGGUGAAACAGCUCUGCCUGGCCAGGGAAUCACACACAAGGCAUGUGAAGAGCUUUACAUGUCCUGCCUGUAAGAAAGGGGAGGCCAGUGUCAAAAGAAGUCUCUAAACUACGACUCCAGCUUCUAACUGAUCAUAUCGGACAGAUUAAGUUUCCUUUCAGAUGAAGGAAGGAUGCCUGGAUACCCCAAGCAGUGGGCAUAUUAGAAACACAUAAGUAACCUUGGUGCAUGGUGGGACGGACACAGAGAGAUUGUAUCUUCGUAUGAUUCAAAAGUGAUUUGUACUAAAAGUUUAUGGUUUGCCAGUGAUGGUGGGCAAACCUCAAGAAGACUGAUUCUGAUCUGA